CUCUAUGACUUUGGAAUCUUCUAGUUUGCUGCCGCUCGCCUGGCAAAGGGGAAGGGUGCCAUCCGCUAUUGCUUGCAAUGGCAAAUCUAGUUAUGGCACCCUCAACGGAGUUGGGGUGACGUAUUGUUAUUCUACGUUUCUUUUUUUUAUGGCACCCUCAACGGAGUUGGGGUGACAUAUUGUUAUUGUUCGUUUCUUUUUUUCUUAUUAUGUCACCCGAUCGACAAUGUCGAGUGACAUAUUGCUUUUCCUCUGUUUCUUUUUCUGUAUUAUUAUGUCACCCGAUCGACAAAGUCGGGUGACAUAUUGCUUUUCCUCUGUUUCUUUUUCUGUAUUAUUAUUAUUAUUAUACUUCCACCUUUUUUGUCCGGCAUGUUUUUUGGAGUGAAAUGGAAUCAAUCUUAAUGAUAGUUCACUAUAAGGUGGAACAAAAAAUUUUGGGGUGCAGGUGGGUCUAAGACCAUAAAAAAUGGCUGCGGUUUCCAUGGAAACAGAAUAAUUGUGAAAAAUUCCAGUUUUUGGUUUUGGUGAAUAAUUUGGAGAUUCUUAAACUCAAAAUCAUCAUAUUUUGAUACAAUGUAGGUGCCAGCCAUAUACUGGUUUUGGAUGAUUUUGGCAAUCAUUGGAACUACUAUGUUGCCAUGGAAACUGCACCAAAAAUUUCCAAAAUAUCAAAAUGCUCCAAAUUUUUUGAAACUUCAUGGUAACGAUGAGCAACAUUGGUAGAUGUGGAAUUUGGCGUUGGAAUUUCAAAAAUGUCUGCCGUUACCAUGGAAACAGAGCAUAAGUGUCAAAAUGCUCUAAAAACUUCAGGGUUUGGUGAAUAAUUUUGAUAUGCUUGAACUUGAAAUCAACAAAUUUUUACACAAUAUAGUUAUCCACUAUAUACAGGUUUUGAUUGAUUUUGACAAUCAUUGGAACUACUCUGUUACCAUGGAUACAGGAUCAAAUAUCUCAAAAGUUUCAAAAUGCUCCAAAAUUGAUGAAACUUAAUAUGAUAGUUGACUGGCAAGUCUGGAUGAGACUUUUGACUUUGGAAUUUCCAAAAUGGCCACC
RNAcentral lists this long non-coding RNA (1056 nucleotides) under Mytilus galloprovincialis (Mediterranean mussel). Lineage: Eukaryota; Metazoa; Mollusca; Bivalvia; Mytilida; Mytilidae. The record is from RNAcentral.